RNAcentral lists this ribosomal RNA (497 nucleotides) under uncultured bacterium. RNAcentral describes it as "partial 16S ribosomal RNA". It matches the Rfam family "Bacterial small subunit ribosomal RNA", at positions 28 to 507 of the family's 1533-position model. The record is from RNAcentral.
GAUGAACGCUGGCGGCGUGCCUAAUACAUGCAAGUCGAGCGAACGGACGAGAAGCUUGCUUCUCUGAUGUUAGCGGCGGACGGGUGAGUAACACGUGGAUAACCUACCUAUAAGACUGGGAUAACUUCGGGAAACCGGAGCUAAUACCGGAUAAUAUUUUGAACCGCAUGGUUCAAAAGUGAAAGACGGUCUUGCUGUCACUUAUAGAUGGAUCCGCUCUGCAUUAGCUAGUUGGUAAGGUAACGGCUUACCAAGGCAACGAUGCAUAGCCGACCUGAGAGGGUGAUCGGCCAAACUGGAACUGAGACACGGUCCAGACUCCUACGGGAGGCAGCAGUAGGGAAUCUUCCGCAAUGGGCGAAAGCCUGACGGAGCAAAGCCGCGUGAGUGAUGAAGGUCUUCGGAUCGUAAAACUCUGUUAUUAGGGAAGAACAUAUGUGUAAGUAACUGUGCACAUCUUGACGGUACCUAAUCAGAAAGCCACGGCUAACUACGUG